UACAGAGGGGGCAAGCGUUGUUCGGAUUUACUGGGCGUAAAGGGCGCGUAGGCGGCUUUGUAAGUUACUUGUGAAAUCUCUGAGCUUAACUCAGAACGGUCAAGUAAUACUGCAGAGCUUGAGUGCAGAAGGGGCAACUGGAAUUCUUGGUGUAGCGGUGAAAUGCGUAGAUAUCAAGAGGAACACCUGAGGCGAAGGCGGGUUGCUGGGCAGUAACUGACGCUGAGGAACGAAAGCGUGGGUAGCGAACAGG
This 253-nucleotide ribosomal RNA is filed under the name uncultured bacterium. Its description in RNAcentral is "partial 16S ribosomal RNA". It matches the Rfam family "Bacterial small subunit ribosomal RNA", at positions 524 to 776 of the family's 1533-position model. The record is from RNAcentral.